AAGGAGGAUUUGCUCUAUAGACUAGACCAGACCUGUUGCAUUUGUAUGACUGACUUUUCUGGGAAGAGCGGCAAGCGGAGCAAACACACGACGGGCGCGAAAGAAAACAAAAGAGAAUCCGCUUUCCAGUAAAGUGUCUCAUACACUUUGCAGAGCAUAAUCCGAUGUGGAGAGCACUCGACAGUAUGGAGAGGGAUGUAGAUAAAUAUCUGGAAAGCCCAAGGCUGC
This 228-nucleotide long non-coding RNA is filed under the name Setaria italica (foxtail millet). RNAcentral's name for it is "long non-coding RNA (SITA_LNC001750)". The record is from RNAcentral. Lineage: Eukaryota; Viridiplantae; Streptophyta; Magnoliopsida; Poales; Poaceae.